UAGCAGUACGCAAAGAUUUCCUGAAC
This 26-nucleotide non-coding RNA is filed under the name Mus musculus (house mouse). The record is from RNAcentral. Lineage: Eukaryota; Metazoa; Chordata; Mammalia; Rodentia; Muridae.